GAUGAACGCUAGCUACAGGCUUAACACAUGCAAGUCGAGGGGAAACGGCAUUAAGUGCUUGCACUUUUUGGACGUCGACCGGCGCACGGGUGAGUAACGCGUAUCCAACCUUCCCAUGACUAAGGGAUAACCUGCCGAAAGGCAGACUAAUACCUUAUGGUCUUCACUGACGGCAUCAGAUGUGAAGUAAAGAUUUAUCGGUUAUGGAUGGGGAUGCGUCUGAUUAGCUUGUUGGCGGGGUAACGGCCCACCAAGGCAACGAUCAGUAGGGGUUCUGAGAGGAAGGUCCCCCACAUUGGAACUGAGACGCGGUCCAAACUCCUACGGGAGGCAGCAGUGAGGAAUAUUGGUCAAUGGGCGAGAGCCUGAACCAGCCAAGUAGCGUGCAGGAUGACGGCCCUAUGGGUUGUAAACUGCUUUUGUAUGGGGAUAAAGUCAAUCACGUGUGAUUGUUUGCAGGUACCAUACGAAUAAGGACCGGCUAAUUCCGUG
RNAcentral lists this ribosomal RNA (492 nucleotides) under uncultured bacterium. Its description in RNAcentral is "partial 16S ribosomal RNA". It matches the Rfam family "Bacterial small subunit ribosomal RNA", at positions 28 to 507 of the family's 1533-position model. The record is from RNAcentral.